AAAACUCUGUUGUUAGAGAAGAACAAGGGUGAGAGUAACUGUUCACCCCUUGACGGUAUCUAACCAGAAAGCCACGGCUAACUACGUGCCAGCAGCCGCGGUAAUACGUAGGUGGCAAGCGUUGUCCGGAUUUAUUGGGCGUAAAGCGAGCGCAGGCGGUUUCUUAAGUCUGAUGUGAAAGCCCCCGGCUCAACCGGGGAGGGUCAUUGGAAACUGGGAGACUUGAGUGCAGAAGAGGAGAGUGGAAUUCCAUGUGUAGCGGUGAAAUGCGUAGAUAUAUGGAGGAACACCAGUGGCGAAGGCGGCUCUC
Molecule: ribosomal RNA, 310 nt
Filed under: Enterococcus sp. 219
Lineage: Bacteria; Bacillati; Bacillota; Bacilli; Lactobacillales; Enterococcaceae
Description: bacterial SSU rRNA
Rfam family: Bacterial small subunit ribosomal RNA
Source: RNAcentral